This 501-nucleotide ribosomal RNA is filed under the name uncultured bacterium. RNAcentral describes it as "partial 16S ribosomal RNA". It matches the Rfam family "Bacterial small subunit ribosomal RNA", at positions 30 to 523 of the family's 1533-position model. The record is from RNAcentral.
AUUGAACGCUGGCGGCAUGCCUUACACAUGCAAGUCGAACGGCAGCACGGGUGCUUGCACCUGGUGGCGAGUGGCGAACGGGUGAGUAAUAUAUCGGAACGUACCUUAUUGUGGGGGAUAACGCAGCGAAAGCUGUGCUAAUACCGCAUAAUCCCUAAGGGGGAAAGCGGGGGAGCGUAAGGCCUCGCGCCAUUAGAGCGGCCGAUACCGGAUUAGCUAGUUGGUGAGGUAAAGGCUCACCAAGGCAACGAUCAGUAGCUGGCCUGAGAGGACGAUCAGCCACACUGGGACUGAGACACGGCCCAGACCCCUACGGGAGGCAGCAGUGGGGAAUUUUGGACAAUGGGGGCAACCCUGAUCCAGCAAUGCCGCGUGAGUGAAGAAGGCCUUCGGGUUGUAAAGCUCUUUUGUCAGGGAAGAAACAGCAGCUCUAACACAGUAUGCGAAUGACGGUACCUGAAGAAUAAGCACCGGCUAACUACGUGCCAGCCGCCGCCGUAA